GGCAGAUUUUAAUCUCUGGGGAAGCAAGAAUUUGCCUUGGAACAUACAUCACAGUUGGCCAACUGGAAGGACAAAGCUUUGUCAACAGAAGAACAGACCUCCGGAUUCAGAGGACAGGUAAAAGACCUGGCCGGGUUGUCAGAAGGCCUCGAUAUCAGCUUGGAAUUCCCCUAGUCCCUGCCACCUUGAUGUCAAGAGGAGCUACACAUGUGGGUCAGUUCUAUAAAGGGCCACACAAGUUCAUCUGAGAUGAUUACCCUGGAAAUUCCCCCCGGAGGAGCAAGUAAAUGCAUGGAGAGGUCAAGUCAACAGUUCUGAUCCACAGGAAAAAAAAACAAAACUUUGUGAGUCUUCUGUGUGGGAUGAAGCCACGUGGAUGGAUGAGCUCACAUAGAGAGAGAGUACAGUGUAAAGU
Hipposideros armiger (great roundleaf bat) is the source of this 415-nucleotide long non-coding RNA. RefSeq lists it as uncharacterized. NCBI's taxonomy places the organism in Eukaryota, Metazoa, Chordata, Mammalia, Chiroptera, Hipposideridae. The transcript has 3 exons. The record is from RefSeq and is a predicted model, not a curated record.